GGGGAGGAGGAAACAGAGACUGAGGGUACUGGAGUGGGGGGAGACACCCCGGAGUCCCUGGAGGCAUGCAGCCAGGAGCUCUUCUCAAGCCAGGAGGAAGAUAGCCAGUCGCAGCAGCCGGUACUUCGUGAAGGACAAGCAGAGGAGCGGGUUCCCGAAACCUUGAGAUGUCGGCUGCCUGUGUUAUCAACAGCUCAAAGACUCCAAAACCCCCGGAAAAAGCCGCGA
Gopherus flavomarginatus (Mexican gopher tortoise) is the source of this 228-nucleotide long non-coding RNA. RefSeq lists it as uncharacterized. The transcript has 2 exons. NCBI's taxonomy places the organism in Eukaryota, Metazoa, Chordata, Testudines, Testudinidae. The record is from RefSeq and is a predicted model, not a curated record.